GCAGAACCAGCCCGUGCACACCAGGAGGCUGUGAUGGAGAAUGGUCUUCAGAAUAGAGUGAAGGCUUUGGUUCACCAGAUAAUUCGUCUUUCUGGCCCACCUUGUCUAAAUGGUGCAGAGACGAGGCAGAGAUGAAGCUCAUCAAGCUUGCCGAAUCUUCAGAGGAGGCACGUAGAGACGUGAGGGUGACGAUGAUUAAAGAGAUGAUCCGGAUGCACAACAGUAAACGUUGGGAGAAAAAGUUGAUCGACGUCUACAGGUUCACCGAGAGGUUUCCGACCAUAUUUUUUGUCUUACAACCCUUCCAUCCUAUAUGGAGAACUCUCGACCCUAAGAACCCUCCAUACUGCGUUCCACCCUUAUACAUACAAGUUGGGAAACACAAUAUGUCUUAAAUUCAUCAGUUCAACAUCUUAUGAGCAGUAACUAGAGUUCUUGGAUUGGUUAUGUAAAGCCGGUGGAUGGUAAUGAUUUACACAUCUGCUGCAGCACCUGUCAGUAAUGUUUGUCAUUUGGCACACUGCAAUAGAUUCAACAUUUUCAGUUUACAAUCCUCUAUGAAUAACUUUCAAGCCAGAGGGUCCAUUUUGUUUUCCUCUCAUCUACCACCUCAGUAAACAUCAGACCUAAACCAGCCCGUGCACAUCAGGUCAAGUCGUCCAUUAAAGUGGAGUGUGUGAUCACAGAAAAGAAUGAAUUUGGCAAGAGUCCCGUCUGGGAUGAAAAAGACUCUGUCUUUGGUGGGUCAGCUGGUGGAGUUCUCUCACUGGUCAUGAGGAGAGUAUCACUACAGAAACCUGUAGGAUCUGUGGUGCGAAAGGCAGACGGUUACGUCAUCGAGGAGGGGAUGUGCUUUGCGUUUGUUGACCGGGUCAUGCACUCCAUUACAACAGCUGCUCAGCUGGACAAGGAAAAGGCCAACGCUCGCUUCAGUGAUGGAAAAGUAAAACAGCUGGGAGGUUCUUUGCAGACCUGCCGCCGGCCGUGGUGGAGAGGAAACAGGGGUCUCUGUAUCCUGACCGUUCAUCAUUCAGACCAGGUGGACAUCUCCGACAGUUUGGACUGGUCACUGGAUCACCGCAUCUUUUUUCCACAUCAACACCCUGCCGUACAUGACUACCACAUCCAGACCGGCUGUCCAUACUGUAUUUAUUUUUCUGUGUGUGUGUGUGUGUGUGUAA
Molecule: RNA transcript, 1181 nt
Organism: Triplophysa rosa
Lineage: Eukaryota; Metazoa; Chordata; Actinopteri; Cypriniformes; Nemacheilidae
Gene name: regucalcin-like
Exons: 8
Source: RefSeq, a predicted model, not a curated record